AGGGGUAUAGCUCAGGGGUAGAGCGCUCGCUUUGCAUGCGAGAAGUCUGGGGCUCGAUUCCCCAUACCUCCA
This 72-nucleotide transfer RNA is filed under the name Pristionchus pacificus. Its description in RNAcentral is "tRNA-Ala (TGC) (tRNA-Ala-TGC-2-1)". It matches the Rfam family "tRNA". Rfam says of the family: Transfer RNA (tRNA) molecules are approximately 80 nucleotides in length. Their secondary structure includes four short double-helical elements and three loops (D, anti-codon, and T loops). The record is from Rfam by way of RNAcentral. Lineage: Eukaryota; Metazoa; Nematoda; Chromadorea; Rhabditida; Neodiplogasteridae.